This 439-nucleotide ribosomal RNA is filed under the name uncultured bacterium. RNAcentral's name for it is "partial 16S ribosomal RNA". It matches the Rfam family "Bacterial small subunit ribosomal RNA", at positions 339 to 795 of the family's 1533-position model. The record is from RNAcentral.
CUACGGGGGGCUGCAGUGGGGAAUCUUAGACAAUGGGGGAAACCCUGAUCUAGCCAUGCCGCGUGAGCGAUGAAGGCCUUAGGGUUGUAAAGCUCUUUCGUGGGGGAAGAUAAUGACUGUACCCCAAGAAGAAGCCCCGGCUAACUCCGUGCCAGCAGCCGCGGUAAUACGGAGGGGGCUAGCGUUGUUCGGAAUUACUGGGCGUAAAGCGCACGUAGGCGGACUGGAAAGUCAGGGGUGAAAUCCCGGGGCUCAACCCCGGAACUGCCUUUGAAACUCCCGGUCUUGAGGUCGAGAGAGGUGAGUGGAAUUCCGAGUGUAGAGGUGAAAUUCGUAGAUAUUCGGAGGAACACCAGUGGCGAAGGCGGCUCACUGGCUCGAUACUGACGCUGAGGUGCGAAAGCGUGGGGAGCAAACAGGAUUAGAUACCCGGGUAGUC